GCGUAAUAACUAUACUAAGUUGUUUAAAUAAAAGUAGUGUUAGUAUGAGAUUAAAAUGUUUGUGUAAAAUACUAAGUGAAUGGAAAUUAAAAGGUUUUGGGGUUGAUGUUACAUGGAUCAGCGACAAACGUGGAAGCAGUGAGAUCCAAAAACAAGCUUCGUGAGCCCGUAGGAGGAGUCUACAUUGUAAGCGUGCCACAAUUUCAUGGCCUAAUGUUUCCCAAGUUUUUCAAUUUCAUGGAUUUGGUAUUCUUUUCUUUUUUUACUUUUUAACUUUUGAUGAUCGGAUAAACGACAUUGACCUAGGAGUUAGAGUUAGGAACCCCAUUUGCCAAUAACUAGUAGCCAAAACGUAUGUCGCAUGAAGCUUUGUUUCUCAUAAAUUGUAUAUUCAGUAUAUAUACAAUCUUAAUAGAAAAA
Molecule: long non-coding RNA, 420 nt
Filed under: Capsella rubella
Lineage: Eukaryota; Viridiplantae; Streptophyta; Magnoliopsida; Brassicales; Brassicaceae
Description: long non-coding RNA (CRUB_LNC001865)
Source: RNAcentral